GGACCCGCACAAGUAGUGGAGCAUGUGGUUUAAUUCGAAGAUACGCGCAGAACCUUACCAACACUUGACAUGUUCGUCGCGACUUUAAGAGAUUAGAGUUUUCGGUUCGGCCGGACGAAACACAGGUGCUGCAUGGCUGUCGUCAGCUCGUGUCGUGAGAUGUUGGGUUAAGUCCCGCAACGAGCGCAACCCUCACUUUUAGUUGCCAUCAUUAAGUUGGGCACUCUGAAAGAACUGCCAGUGAUAAGCUGGAGGAAGGUGGGGAUGACGUCAAGUCCUCAUGGCCCCUUACGUGUUGGGCUACACACGUGCUACAAUGGUAUCUACAACAGGAAGCAAGACUGCGAAGUU
This 351-nucleotide ribosomal RNA is filed under the name uncultured bacterium. Its description in RNAcentral is "bacterial SSU rRNA". It matches the Rfam family "Bacterial small subunit ribosomal RNA", at positions 917 to 1264 of the family's 1533-position model. The record is from RNAcentral.